Molecule: long non-coding RNA, 855 nt
Organism: Vidua chalybeata
Lineage: Eukaryota; Metazoa; Chordata; Aves; Passeriformes; Viduidae
Exons: 6
Source: RefSeq, a predicted model, not a curated record
CCAGCCUGUUAGCACAGCACACGUCCCAGGACCCAGAUUUGUGAACCAGAUCAGCUGUUCUGCUGCAACACCCGUGCUGAGCUGCAUUUUCAGCACCCAAGUGUCCUGUUGGCACAGGAGGUGCCCAAUGGCCAUCUCUGCUGUGUCACGACUGCAGCCUUUCUGUUCCCCCCUCAUCUUCAUGUCUGGAGAGAGACUUGCCUUUCCUGGAGCUCCAGCUGGUGAGGAGUGAAACCCUAUCCAUGCUUGAGGCUGAGCUGGAUUUAAAUAUUGUGCAGGAAAAAUAUGAAGAAGGUCCACCCCAAAGUGGAGCUGAAUAGCUGAGGCUUGAAAGAUGAGCGUGCAUUUGCCUGACAGCUUUCAGAGCGAGCCAGCCCUGCCAGCCAAAGCAGAUUCUCUGUGCCUGCUUCCAAGCAGCACGAGCUGAAACAACUGGUGGCAGAGUGGGGUGUCUCUACAGUCCUAGCCACGAAGAGAGGAGAUGAAACAUCCUCCUGCUUGCAGCUCAGGGAAGAGGCUGGAGCUGGGCUGCUUUCUCCACAACUGUAGAACUACAGUGAAAUGGGGAUUCUUUGUUUGUGUUUCAUUGGCUUCUCUGAGGAAAACAGCGACCAUGAGAUGAGACAGAGCCUCGGGCAGGCUGUAACAGCAGGAUCUUGGAGUGCAGAGCAGGAGAGGACACAGCAAUGUUCUUCAUGGGACACAAGCACCCACCUCCCAUGGCUGUAGUCAUGUGGUUCCUUGUGCCAUGGAAUCCAGGAUCCAGGAGAACGAAGACAGAAGAGCAGAAGAGCUCUUGCUUGCAUUUCACACAUGCUAUCACCAAGAAUAUUUACUACUAAUCACUAAACUAGU